Long non-coding RNA from Ictalurus punctatus (channel catfish), 383 nucleotides. The record is from Ensembl. NCBI's taxonomy places the organism in Eukaryota, Metazoa, Chordata, Actinopteri, Siluriformes, Ictaluridae.
UGCUGAGCCAAGCCGUACCCAGUGUGAAGUGCAUGGACGGCCUGUUGGAGUGUGUGUGUGUGUGUGUGUGUGUGUGUGUUGGGAGGUGAGAGUGUGUGUGUGUGUGUGUGUGUGUGUAUGUGUAUGUGUCUUCCUUCUGAUCUAAACACCGUGCCCAUUUAAAAAAAAAAAAAAAAGAGGCACUCGCCAGUCUUAUUGCAUUACCCGUCUCUGAAGCCUUGUGGAACACCACCUGCUCGUGUUUUUAGGAGAUUAGAGAAUGCCACGCCAGGGUGUGGUACAAAUUUAACAACUAUGUCUUCAGCGUGUUUCUGUGUGUGUGUGUAUUUCCUUUUUUUUUUUUACUUUAAAUUGAAUAAUAAUUGUGUAUAUUUUUGUCCCCU